GUGCCAGCCGCCGCGGUAAUACGGAGGAUGCAAGCGUUAUCCGGAUUCAUUGGGUUUAAAGGGUGCGUAGGCGGCUUUUUAAGUCAGUGGUGAAAUCCUGUCGCUUAACGAUAGAAUUGCCCAUUGAUACUGAGAAGCUUGAGUUCAGUUGAGGUAAGCGGAAUGUGUAGUGUAAGCGGUGAAAUGCUUAGAUAUUACACAGAACACCGAUUGCGAAGGCAGCUUACUAAACUGACACUGACGCUGAUGCACGAAAAGCGUGGGGAGCGAACAGGAUUAGAUACCCUGGUAGUCCACGCCGUAAAACGAUGCUCACUCGCUGUAUGCGAUACACAGUAUGCGGCCAAGCGAAAGCAUUAAGUGAGCCACCUGGGGAGUACGAUCGCAAGGUUGAAACUCAAAGGAAUUGACGGGGGCCCGCACAAGCGGAGGAACAUGUGGUUUAAUUCGAUGAUACGCGAGGAACCUUACCUGGGCUUAAAUGUAGAACGACAGCUUGUGAAAGCAGGCUUUCUUCGGACGUUUUACAAGGUGCUGCAUGGUUGUCGUCAGCUCGUGCCGUGAGGUGUCGGGUUAAGUCCCAUAACGAGCGCAACCCUUAUCGUUAGUUGCCAGCGGGUCAAGCCGGGGACUCUAGCGAGACUGCCACCGUAAGGUGUGAGGAAGGUGGGGAUGACGUCAAAUCAGCACGGCCCUUAUGUCCAGGGCUACACACGUGUUACAAUGGCCAAUACAAAGGGCAGCUACUCCGCGAGGAGAUGCUAAUCUCUAAAGUUGGUCUCAGUUCGGAUCGAAGUCUGCAACCCGACUUCGUGAAGCUGGAUUCGCUAGUAAUCGCGCAUCAGCCAUGGCGCGGUGAAUACGUUCCCGGGCCUUGUACACACCGCCCGUCAAACAAUGGAAGCUGGGGGUACCUGAAGUCUGUAACCGCAAGGAGCGGCCUAGGGUAAAACUAGUAACUGGUGUUAAGUCGUAACAAGGUAACC
Molecule: ribosomal RNA, 986 nt
Filed under: bacterium enrichment culture clone CXCIX
Lineage: Bacteria
Description: bacterial SSU rRNA
Rfam family: Bacterial small subunit ribosomal RNA
Source: RNAcentral